Molecule: long non-coding RNA, 695 nt
Organism: Zingiber officinale
Lineage: Eukaryota; Viridiplantae; Streptophyta; Magnoliopsida; Zingiberales; Zingiberaceae
Exons: 4
Source: RefSeq, a predicted model, not a curated record
CGGUUCGUUUCUCGCAUGCCCGCGCCCUGCUUCCUCACCCGACGCUGUCUUCUUCUCCAAACCGUCGCCGCGACGAUUCUGUUCUUCCAUUCAUACAAAAACGGCCAGCCAAGGAAGCCCUAGCAUCACCUUUUUCCCCUUUGCCCUCAUCGCCUCCUCGCCACAGGGAUCACUCCACCGCCCGAUGCGCGCAGUGAUGCCAGCCGAUUACCGGCCGCCUCCUCUGUGCUAGCCACCAAGCAUCACUUGACCUCUCCCUCUCCAGGUCGCGGUCAACAUAGGCUCGCCGGGAAACCAUGUGUCAAAUCGUGCCCUAGGCACCGCCCUCCUCUCCUCUUUCUUAACCGUGCCCUAGAUUCAUUGCCGGCUUGGGGUCUACUGUGUCGUGCCCUAGCUUCCGACUUUGCCUCCUCUUCACAAUAGUGGCGUUAGGCGAUCAAUAGAGGGGAAGCAACAGAUUUCUAUGGAUUCUUCCUGUUGCCGAUCACUACUUUCUCCUUUCUUGAAGCUGUGGAGGUCUUGGAGUAAGUGAGGAUAUGUUGAAGGUGAUCUUGGUUCCGGUGGUGUUUCUUGCCGGCAGCACUCAAACCAGUAUCACCAGUGGUUUUGGAUCAAGAGCAGAGGUUUGAAUUGAGGACUCUAAUUCGAGACGAGCAUCUCGAUGUUGGAUUUGAUUGGAUUGGACCUGCUAUUUG